RNAcentral lists this ribosomal RNA (254 nucleotides) under uncultured bacterium. RNAcentral describes it as "partial 16S ribosomal RNA". It matches the Rfam family "Bacterial small subunit ribosomal RNA", at positions 15 to 263 of the family's 1533-position model. The record is from RNAcentral.
GAUCCUGGCUCAGAUUGAACGCUGGCGGCAGGCCUAACACAUGCAAGUCGAACGGUAACAGGAAGAAGCUUGCUUCUUUGCUGACGAGUGGCGGACGGGUGAGUAAUGUCUGGGAAACUGCCUGAUGGAGGGGGAUAACUACUGGAAACGGUGGCUAAUACCGCAUAACGUCGCAAGACCAAAGAGGGGGGACCUUUCGGGGCCUCUUGCCAUCGGAUGUGCCCAGAUGGGAUUAGCUAGUAGGUGGGUAACGG